UUUUCCUACGGAGGCAGCAGUGGGGGAUAUUGCACAAUGGGGGAAACCCUGAUGCAGCGACGCCGCGUGAGUGAAGAAGUAUUUCGGUAUGUAAAGCUCUAUCAGCAGGGAAGAAGAUGACAGUACCUGAGUAAGAAGCCCCGGCUAACUACGUGCCAGCAGCCGCGGUAAUACGUAGGGGGCAAGCGUUAUCCGGAUUUACUGGGUGUAAAGGGAGCGUAGACGGUUAUGUAAGUCUGGAGUGAAAGCCCGGGGCCCAACCCCGGGACUGCUUUGGAAACUGUGUAAC
Molecule: ribosomal RNA, 289 nt
Filed under: uncultured bacterium
Lineage: Bacteria
Description: partial 16S ribosomal RNA
Rfam family: Bacterial small subunit ribosomal RNA
Source: RNAcentral